UUCAUUCAUUUUCCAAAGUGCUUGAUCCUCACUAGGGUCGCGGGGGUAGUAGGGCCGAUCCCAGUUGUCUUCGGGCAGUAGGCGGGGGACAACUGGUUGCCAGCCAAUGGCAGGGCACACAAAAACGAACAACCAUUCGUGCCCACACUCUAGGGACAGUUUUGAGUGUUCCAUCAGAGCUGCCAAGCAUAUUUUUGGAAUGUGGGAGGAAAUCGGAGGGCAUGGAGAAAGCCCACGCAAGCACGGGGAGAACAUGCAAACUCUACACAGGAAGGCCGGAGCUGCAGGGUUCGUACGGGUCCUUAAAGUUCAUAAAAAUCAGUCAAAGAAGAAGUUGUAAAAUUAUGUUCUGAAUUGUCCAUAAUUUUGUUGGCAGUGAAUGGAUGUUUUGGUUGCCGGCCCGGCAAACAAUUACAGUAUUUUCUGGAAAAAUCUAUUCAUCGAAUUUAUCGAUCUCAACAAGUGACAGACAAAUAAAUAUUGGCGUCGCUACAAAUAUUCCGAGACUAUGCUAUUUUCAAGGGCCAUGGCUGGAGAAGCCGCAGUUCCGUGUUUGGGUCAGAAAAAUUGCUGGCGAUUAUCUUCCGAGCCGCUUGAUCCUCACUAGGGUCGCGGGGGGUGCUGGAGCCUAUCCCAGCUGUCUUCGGGCAGUAUGCGGGGGACACCCUGAAUCGGUUGCCAGCCAAUCACAGGGCACACAGAAACGAAAAACCAUUCGCACACACACUCACACCUAGGGACAAUUUAGAGUGUUCAAUCAGCCUGCCACGCAUGUUUUUGGAAUGUGGGAGGAAACCGGAGCACCCGGAGAAAAUCCACGCAGGCCCGGGGAGAACAUGCAAACUCCACACAGGGAGGCCGGAGCUGGAAUUGAAACCAGUACCUCUGCACUGUGAAGUCAACGUGCUAACCACUCGACUACCGGGCCACCUUCAUCAUAAAAAUAAUAAAUAUAAAAUGUGUGGCGACAACUGACGCUCUGGUCGGAUUGAAGAAAAAAAAAACACGGGACGCGCCCGAUGCAGAGGCAAAGUGAGUCCGAGAAGGCUGCUUCAUCUCGGACAAAAAAAGUAAAGCCAACGUACGUCAGCGUUAGUAUCCCCGGAGGAGAAACCCGCCCCGGAGGUAAAAUGCGUGGCGACAACGGAUUAAAAAAAAACCCCCCACGCAGAGGCAAAGUGUGUCCGCGAAGGCGGCUACGUCUCAGAAGAAAAAAGCAGGGCCUUUGGACAGCUAACAUCAGCAUUACCACCGCCGAAGUAGCCCACUGCGUAGGCAAAAUAGGCGACAGCGGACGCUCGGGUCGGAUAAAUAAAAAAAAAUAAAAGAAAAAA
This is a long non-coding RNA of Hippocampus zosterae (dwarf seahorse), 1334 nucleotides long. RefSeq lists it as uncharacterized. The transcript is spliced from 2 exons. The record is from RefSeq and is a predicted model, not a curated record. NCBI's taxonomy places the organism in Eukaryota, Metazoa, Chordata, Actinopteri, Syngnathiformes, Syngnathidae.